Long non-coding RNA from Asparagus officinalis (garden asparagus), 923 nucleotides. RefSeq lists it as uncharacterized. The record is from RefSeq and is a predicted model, not a curated record. The transcript is spliced from 3 exons. NCBI's taxonomy places the organism in Eukaryota, Viridiplantae, Streptophyta, Magnoliopsida, Asparagales, Asparagaceae.
UUCUACUCGUCUCUUUAAUUUCUCAUUUUACCCAAAUUAUGUUAUUUAAUUCAUGUAUAAUUACUAAUUGCCUUCGAUUUCGUUACGGAUUCUUUUCAUUUAUGUGAGUUUGAUUAGAAGCGGAGAAUUUUUUUUUUUUUGAGGGGAAUUCGCGUCGAAGAGGGAGUGAGAAAGACGGCGGAUUUGCUGGAGCCGGGAGACUGAGGCCAAUUUGGGCAAUAUUUGGGCCGGAUUUGAACAUAACCAGAGUGCGGCCUGUACAUGAGGAAAGGGAGUAGAGAAUGCUUUGGAGGCCCAUUCUGGGCCUUGUACUUGACUCUAAUAGCGGACUCAGUUUGAUCGGGCGUAAACUCUAGUUUCAAAUCUUGAAGAGAGGGGAAAGAGAAAGAGACAAGAGGCGAUGGAGCCCAAACCCUAGCGAGCAAAACCCUAGCGUUGUUAAGAGGAGAAUGGGUAAGAAGCCUGCUCCCUCCCUCUCCAAUUCAAAUCUCAAAGAGAGCGGGGUUGGCAGCAUAGGCGAAGGAGCCAAACCUCUAACUAGUGAUUACCUUGCGUUGAUAUUAUAACAAUGAGGAUUGGUAAUUUGUUUCUCUUUCGGAGUUUUUAUUUCUACGAGCUUUAUGAUAUAUAAUGUUUAAUUGAUAUACUUAUUUUUCAUGCAAAUUGCAAUAGCGUUCUUUAAAUCUCAAGGUUUUCUAGUAGUGAAACUGAUGGUAUUUUUAUGUAUUGAUCUCAGAAAUUGUUGUUGUGAUACAUGGUGAACAUUUUAAGUUCCUCUCUAGGAAAUUUCAUUGAGCAUGUUUCUGGCACUUUUUUUUCCCUGGAUCCAGCGUUGCUUUUCAUUGUAGAACUACUAAUUAUAGGAAAGAGAUCCUAUUACUUAUUUGAUUAAAAUGAUUUUAAUUUUACCAAAAAAUUUAUUU